GAACGUAUCUGUAUAUUUAAUCACGUAAACAAGUAUACAUAACGAGACGAAUACAGCGUGCCACCAAGCUGAGAUUUGCAGUAAACAUAAAGUAUAAGUGAGUAUUUGUUCAUAAUUAUUAGUUGUAGUUUGUGUACCACAUGUCAAAAAGUAUGUAUUAAAUGUUAAUAUAAUAUAACGUACUGAAGGUUUUAGGCUAAGACAUUAUAUGAGUCAGUCGUAACUCAUCAAAGAGCCGUGCUGACGCUUUGCUGAGUCGAGGUCAGGCUCGACAGAUGUUCUCUGGAAGUCACCGUGUCACACUUGGUGUUGAGAUGUGCAGCACGGAGGUCACUGCAGUCAGCGGAGAGAAGUCUUACAUACAUGCAACUAUGAGACAACAUUGAUCCUCCAGCUAAACAGAAACACUUUAUACACAGCACAGGUUAAUAAAGGCUUUCAGUCGUAGUUUGACACAAGUAUGACAUUUUCUUGUUUACGACGUUCAAUCUUCAAUGUUCAAUCUUGUUAUGUUGCCUUUAAAGGAUUUCUGCUGUCUUGUGAUUCUGACCUUGAAAUCCCAUUGGACCUUCAUACGUGUUGUCUGAAAAGCCUGGGGAAAUGUGAACUUAAUUAGAUCUGAUAGUUAGACAUAAUUACAUGACACCAGAAUGUUUUGAUGUCUACCUUGAAGGAACGUUCCUGCCAUAAUUGUUGUAUUUGAUGAUGUGGACAGCAGCCAGUGAGCACUGGUGAAAUAUCUCAGCAUGCUUGUGCAAGCAACAAGUCCAGGAGAGAAUCCUGACUAAUUCCACCCUGUCAUACACCCCCUGUUUACCGUCAGUCUGCACGGGAACGUGUGAUUCCUCAAAACUCAAGUAAGAACUAAAAGAGGAAGUACCUCCCUGAGUAGACCUUGGUGCACCCACAUUUGAUAAAAAGCUAACAAGAAGCACAAGAUAAAAGGAGCAAAGUUGCAUGUGGCUUUUUCUUUGCGUAUGAAUGUGCAACGAAACAUGCCCGAUGAGUCACCUUCUUUUAGUAAACACUGAUAACUCCUGAGAACAAAACAAGCUCAAUCGUGCAUAUUUGUAUAUAUCAUUUAUUUGCAGAUACUCUUAACAUGACUGAUAAUGGGAAUUUUGUCUUUUGUUUCCUACACACACAGAAAAUACUUGAACCGUCACCGCUUGUGUUUGGCAAGUGCUCAAUGUCCUCAUGUCUACAAGUUGUGCCUGUG
This is a long non-coding RNA of Gasterosteus aculeatus aculeatus (three-spined stickleback), 1219 nucleotides long. The record is from Ensembl. NCBI's taxonomy places the organism in Eukaryota, Metazoa, Chordata, Actinopteri, Perciformes, Gasterosteidae.